Molecule: ribosomal RNA, 293 nt
Filed under: uncultured bacterium
Lineage: Bacteria
Description: partial 16S ribosomal RNA
Rfam family: Bacterial small subunit ribosomal RNA
Source: RNAcentral
UUGCCCCUACGGGAGGCAGCAGUGAGGAAUAUUGGUCAAUGGGCGGAAGCCUGAACCAGCCAAGUCGCGUGAGGGAAUAAGGCCCUACGGGUCGUAAACCUCUUUUGCCGGGGAGCAAGGGCGGGGACGUGUCCCGGCCCGGAGAGCACCCGGAGAAAAAGCAUCGGCUAACUCCGUGCCAGCAGCCGCGGUAAUACGGAGGAUGCGAGCGUUAUCCGGAUUUAUUGGGUUUAAAGGGUGCGUAGGCGGGCUUUUAAGUCAGCGGGAAAAAUUCGGGGCCCAACCCCGUCCGG